This 556-nucleotide small RNA is filed under the name Pan troglodytes (chimpanzee). RNAcentral's name for it is "retained intron". Lineage: Eukaryota; Metazoa; Chordata; Mammalia; Primates; Hominidae. The record is from RNAcentral.
UAAAGUCCAUUUUGAAUUAUUUGGGGAAUUAAAUAUUAUCAUACCUAAAGAGUACAAUUUUUUUACAUUUUAAAUCCCAGAUAUAAUUAUACUAAGCAGUUGAAUUUUGUAUUUUUUUUAGCCGUCCAUUUUCUAUUUUAACAUUGAAAAAAAUGUACAAAAGGACACAGUUUUAACCAGUUUGAUUUUUCUUUUCUAUACUUUGGAGGUCAAGACAUCUUUAUGACAGAAGAACAGAAGAAAUACUAUAAUGCAAUGAAAAAAUUAGGAUCGAAAAAACCGCAAAAGCCUAUACCUCGACCAGGAAACAAAUUUCAAGGAAUGGUCUUUGACUUCGUAACCAGACAAGUUUUUGACAUAAGCAUCAUGAUUCUCAUCUGUCUUAACAUGGUCACAAUGAUGGUGGAAACAGAUGACCAGAGUGAAUAUGUGACUACCAUUUUGUCGCGCAUCAAUCUGGUGUUCAUUGUGCUGUUUACUGGAGAGUGUGUACUGAAACUCAUCUCUCUACGCCAUUAUUAUUUUACCAUUGGAUGGAAUAUUUUUGAUUUUGUGG